UUAGCCGGUGCUUGCUAAGGAGGUACCGUCAGCCGAAGCUUCUUCCCUCCCCACAGGGCUUUACGACCCGAAGGCCUCCAUCACCCACGCGGCGUCGCUGCGUCAGGCUUUCGCCCAUUGCGCAAGAUUCCCC
This 133-nucleotide ribosomal RNA is filed under the name uncultured bacterium. RNAcentral describes it as "partial 16S ribosomal RNA". The record is from RNAcentral.